ACUCAAUAGAUACCCAGGUAGUCCACGCCCUAAACGAUGUCUACUAGUUGUUGGUGGAGUAAAAUCCAUGAGUAAACGCAGCUAACGCGUGAAGUAGACCGCCUGGGGAGUACGGUCGCAAGAUUAAAACUCAAAUGAAUUGACGGGGGCCCGCACAAGCGGUGGAUUAUGUGGAUUAAUUCGAUGCAACGCGAAAACCUUACCUGGCCUUGACAUGUAACGAACCUUCCAGAGAUGGAUUGGUGCUCGAAAGAGAACGUUAACACAGGUGCUGCAUGGCUGUCGUCAGCUCGUGUCGUGAGAUGUUGGGUUAAGUCCCGCAACGAGCGCAACCCUUGCCAUUAAUUGCCAUCAUUUAGUUGGGCACUUUAAUGGGACUGCCGGUGACAAACCGGAGGAAGUGGGGAUGACGUCAAGUCCUCAUGGCCCUUAUGGCCAGGGCUUCACACGUAAUACAAUGGUCGGUACAGAGAGUUGCCAACCCGCAGGGGAGCCAAUCUCAGAAAGCCGAUCGUAGUCCGGAUUGUAGUCUGC
Molecule: ribosomal RNA, 534 nt
Filed under: uncultured bacterium
Lineage: Bacteria
Description: bacterial SSU rRNA
Rfam family: Bacterial small subunit ribosomal RNA
Source: RNAcentral